AGAUGCUGAUAUUACUACUCACCUAAUUAAUCUCUUCUCUUUACAAUAUUCUGCUUAUAAAUACCCACUUAUCAUCCAUCUUCUCUUCACUCCGAUAUCAGUUUUUGCACCACAAAAUUAAUAUCUCAGUUAAUCCUCAGACAUACUAGUCCUUGAUGACCGGGAAUGAUUCGUCCCGCAAUAAAUCAGCAGGGAAACUACUCUCGCUUGGAAAAACAGUGGGAACCAUUAUUAGUAUUACUAAACAGUGGUCUUCUAACUCUUCGGAGUAUCAUAUAUCUUUCUGUUAAAGUCUACGGACAUCCAACUCAAAACUAAUUGGAAAUGAGAAAAUGGCCCUUUCAUAUUAUAAUUUAGCUUCAUUAUGUGGCGUGGGAUUAUUUUCUUUUCACACUUUCAAAGCUAACAGUUUAGUGGCUUAAAAUUAAAUUAAUUUCCAUUUUUUUAAAGUUUUAUCUUUUUGAAAUGCAUGCAUUGGGUCUUACUUUCAGCUCCAUGACUGCUGCAGGAAACGAUUAUUUUAAAUGAUAUUUAGAUGAAUGCUUGCUAUAUCCAACGCCGAAAUUUUCGACUCUCCAUAAUAUGGGUCAUGUAAAUUCAAGGGGAAACGGUGAAAAAAAACCUGUUCCACUGCUCGGAAGACUAUUGUUUAAGUUGUGGAUGUGAUCGUAGACAGCUGAAGAAGAAGCUCUAAAAAUUUAUAAUAUCUACUCAUCCCAACUGAUAAAGCUAAAGAGAUUCUUUGUCAUUCUGCUUCCCCUUACUGGCCUAUUAAAAAAUCAGCUUAUGAAUUGUGCACGUCUAAGGCUAGUAUAGAUAUUCGUAGGACUUACAUAUUUGUAGGACUUACCGUUUAUGAUGUUAGACAUGCUUCAGCCGGGAUGACUAGAUAUUAUAUAUUUUUAUGGAGCUACUAAGAUUAAUAUGUGUUUGAGCGAGGCGCUCGCCUACUCGGGCAAAUUAUGGUAAACUAGUCGCCUUGAUUGGAGGUUCAAAAAAUUCGACAAACUCAAUUUUCUCUUCUUUUUUUUUUAAGCAUAUUCUACUCUUAAAUACAACACAACUACUCCCGUGAGUUUUGGACCUGUAAAAAGAUAUCUCUAUUAACAAAGUGAAAAUUAUUAUGAUUUUUGUUUUCA
Molecule: long non-coding RNA, 1139 nt
Organism: Papaver somniferum (opium poppy)
Lineage: Eukaryota; Viridiplantae; Streptophyta; Magnoliopsida; Ranunculales; Papaveraceae
Exons: 2
Source: RefSeq, a predicted model, not a curated record